AGUUCGAUUAUGGCCAGAUUGAACGCUGGUGGAUGCUUUACAUGCAAGUUUGAACGGCAGCACGGACUUCGGUCUGGUGGCGAGGCGAACGGGUGAGUAAUGUAUCGAACGCCUAGUAGCGGGGAUAACUACGUGAAAGCGUAGCCAAUACCGUGAGCACACCUUCGGGGAAAGCGGGGGACCUCGGGCCUCGCACUAUUAGAGCGGCCGAUAUCGGAUUAGCUAGUUGGUGGGGUAACGGCUCACCGGUUAUGACGAUCCGUAGCUGGUUUGAGAGGACGACCAGCCACACUGGGACCGGAGACACGGCCCAGACUCCUACGGAGGCAGCAAAAUUUCGGACAAUGGGAAACCCUGAUCCAGCCAUCCCGCGUGUGCGAUGAAGGUCUCUUGGCCAGGUACACCCUUUUGGGCAGGAAGGAACGGCAUCGCGGAUACCCGUGCAACUGACGGCACCUUUGCAGAAUAAGCACCGGCUAACUACGUGCCAGCAGCCGCGGUAAUACGUAGUGCGUUAAUCGGAAUUACUGGGCGUAGCGUGCGCAGGCGGUUCGGAAAGAAAGAUGUGAAACUCAGAGCUUAACUUUGGAACCGCAUUUUUAACUACCGAGCUAGAGUGUGUCAGAGGGAGGUGGAAUUCCCGCGUGUAGCAGUGAAAUGCGCGUAGAUAUGCGGAGGAACACCGAUGGCGAAGGCAGCCUCCUGGGAUAACACUGACGCUCAUGCACGAAAGCGUGGGGAGCAAACAGGAUUAGAUACCCUGGUAGUCCAGUCGCCCUAAACGAUGUCAACCAGCUGUUGGGGCCCGGGCCUUGGUAGCGCAGCCAACGCGUGAAGCUGACCGCCCAGGAGUACGGUCGCAAGAUUAAAACCUGCAGCGAAUUGACGGGGACCCGCACAAGCGGUGAUGAUGCGGAUUAAUUCGAUGCAACGCGAAAACCUUACCUACCCUUGACAUGUCUGAAUCCCGAAGAGAUUUGGGAGUGCUCGCAAGAGAACCGGAACACAGGUGCUGCAUGGCUGUCGUCAGCUCGUGUCGUGAGAUGUUGGGUUAAGUCCUGCAAACGAGCGCAACCCUGUCACAGUUGCUACGAAAGGGCACUCAUCGAGACUGCCGGUGACAAACCGGAGGAAGGUGAUGACGUCAAGUCCUCAUGGCCCCCAGGGUAGGGCUAAUAUCGUCAUACAAUGGUCGGGACAGAGGACGCCAUCCGCGAGGGAGCCAUCCAGAAAACCCGACCGUAGUCCGGAUCGCAGUCUGCAACUCGACUGCGUGAAGUCGGAAUCGCUAGUAAUCGUGAUCAGCAUGUCGCGGUGAAUACGUUCCCGGUCUUGUACACACCGCCCGUCAUGGAGUGGGUUUACCAGAAGUAGUUAGCCUAACCGUAAGGAGGGUUACUACUACGGUAGGAUUCAGACUGGGGUAGAAGUCGCAACAAGGCAA
RNAcentral lists this ribosomal RNA (1444 nucleotides) under uncultured Bordetella sp. Its description in RNAcentral is "partial 16S-23S ribosomal RNA intergenic spacer". It matches the Rfam family "Bacterial small subunit ribosomal RNA". The record is from RNAcentral. Lineage: Bacteria; Pseudomonadati; Pseudomonadota; Betaproteobacteria; Burkholderiales; Alcaligenaceae.